CGCGGGGUGGAGCAGCUCGGUAGCUCGCUGGGCUCAUAACCCAGAGGUCGCAGGUUCAAAUCCUGUCCCCGCUACCG
This 77-nucleotide transfer RNA is filed under the name Micromonospora aurantiaca (nom. illeg.). Its description in RNAcentral is "Micromonospora aurantiaca tRNA-Met". It matches the Rfam family "tRNA". From Rfam's summary of the family: Transfer RNA (tRNA) molecules are approximately 80 nucleotides in length. Their secondary structure includes four short double-helical elements and three loops (D, anti-codon, and T loops). Lineage: Bacteria; Bacillati; Actinomycetota; Actinomycetes; Micromonosporales; Micromonosporaceae. The record is from RNAcentral.